UGAGAGUAUUUAUUUCCAUAAACCUUU
This 27-nucleotide non-coding RNA is filed under the name Rattus norvegicus (Norway rat). Lineage: Eukaryota; Metazoa; Chordata; Mammalia; Rodentia; Muridae. The record is from RNAcentral.